GACGAACGCUGUCGGCGUGCUUAACACAUGCAAGUCGAACGGAAAGGCCCUGCUUUUGUGGGGUGCUCGAGUGGCGAACGGGUGAGUAACACGUGAGUAACCUGCCCUUGACUUUGGGAUAACUUCAGGAAACUGGGGCUAAUACCGGAUAGGAGCUCCUGCUGCAUGGUGGGGGUUGGAAAGUUUCGGCGGUUGGGGAUGGACUCGCGGCUUAUCAGCUUGUUGGUGGGGUAGUGGCUUACCAAGGCUUUGACGGGUAGCCGGCCUGAGAGGGUGACCGGCCACAUUGGGACUGAGAUACGGCCCAGACUCCUACGGGAGGCAGCAGUGGGGAAUAUUGCACAAUGGGCGGAAGCCUGAUGCAGCAACGCCGCGUGCGGGAUGACGGCCUUCGGGUUGUAAACCGCUUUCGCCUGUGACGAAGCGUGAGUGACGGUGAUGGGUAAAGAAGCACCGGCUAACUACGUGCCAGCAGCCGCGGUGAUACGUAGGGUGCGAGCGUUGUCCGGAUUUAUUGGGCGUAAAGGGCUCGUAGGUGGUUGAUCGCGUCGGAAGUGUAAUCUUGGGGCUUAACCCUGAGCGUGCUUUCGAUACGGGUUGACUUGAGGAAGGUAGGGGAGAAUGGAAUUCCUGGUGGAGCGGUGGAAUGCGCAGAUAUCAGGAGGAACACCAGUGGCGAAGGCGGUUCUCUGGGCCUUUCCUGACGCUGAGGAGCGAAAGCGUGGGGAGCGAACAGGCUUAGAUACCCUGGUAGUCCACGCUGUAAACGGUGGGUACUAGGUGUGGGGUCCAUUCCACGGGUUCCGUGCCGUAGCUAACGCUUUAAGUACCCCGCCUGGGGAGUACGGCCGCAAGGCUAAAACUCAAAGGAAUUGACGGGGCCCCGCACAAGCGGCGGAGCAUGCGGAUUAAUUCGAUGCAACGCGUAGAACCUUACCUGGGUUUGACAUGGAUCGGGAGUGCUCAGAGAUGGGUGUGCCUCUUUUGGGGUCGGUUCACAGGUGGUGCAUGCCUGUCGUCAGCUCGUGUCGUGAGAUGUUGGGUUAAGUCCCGCAACGAGCGCAACCCUUGUUCACUGUUGCCAGCACGUUAUGGUGGGGACUCAGUGGAGACCGCCGGGGUCAACUCGGAGGAAGGUGGGGAUGACGUCAAGUCCUCAUGCCCCUUAUGUCCAGGGCUUCACGCAUGCUACAAUGGCUGGUACAGAGAGUGGCGAGCCUGUGAGGGUGAGCGAAUCUCGGAAAGCCGGUCUCAGUUCGGAUUGGGGUCUGCAACUCGACCUCAUGAAGUCGGAGUCGCUAGUAAUCGCAGAUCAGCAACGCUGCGGUGAAUACGUUCCCGGGGCU
RNAcentral lists this ribosomal RNA (1346 nucleotides) under uncultured bacterium. RNAcentral describes it as "bacterial SSU rRNA". It matches the Rfam family "Bacterial small subunit ribosomal RNA", at positions 28 to 1381 of the family's 1533-position model. The record is from RNAcentral.